GGAUGUGCUGGUCUCGUGGCUUGUCCGAUUUGCACGGUAACUUGAUUACACGCUCGAAUUCAUGGUCACUUCCGAAGCGCUUUAGUGCCUUCCGUCCCUAAACCGCCAACAGCCAAGGCGGCUUCCCUCGGUGGUUUGUCAAUAAUCCGGGCGGUUCGGAAGGGCCUUCGCUUUACCCGGGUUCCAC
Molecule: unclassified non-coding RNA, 187 nt
Organism: Jaculus jaculus (lesser Egyptian jerboa)
Lineage: Eukaryota; Metazoa; Chordata; Mammalia; Rodentia; Dipodidae
Product: predicted gene, 27492
Source: Ensembl